GACGAACGCUGGCGGCGUGCUUAACACAUGCAAGUCGAACGGAAAGGCCCUGCUUUUGUGGGGUGCUCGAGUGGCGAACGGGUGAGUAACACGUGAGUAACCUGCCCUUGACUUUGGGAUAACUUCAGGAAACUGGGGCUAAUACCGGAUAGGAGCUCCUGCUGCAUGGCGGGGGUUGGAAAGUUUCGGCGGUUGGGGAUGGACUCGCGGCUUAUCAGCUUGUUGGUGGGGUAGUGGCUUACCAAGGCUUUGACGGGUAGCCGGCCUGAGAGGGUGACCGGCCACAUUGGGACUGAGAUACGGCCUAGACUCCUACGGGAGGCAGCGGUGGGGAAUAUUGCACAAUGGGCGGAAGCCUGAUGCAGCAACGCCGCGUGCGGGAUGACGGCCUUCGGGUUGUAAACCGCUUUCGCCUGUGACGAAGCGUGAGUGACGGUAAUGGGUAAAGAAGCACCGGCUAACUACGUG
RNAcentral lists this ribosomal RNA (468 nucleotides) under uncultured bacterium. Its description in RNAcentral is "partial 16S ribosomal RNA". It matches the Rfam family "Bacterial small subunit ribosomal RNA", at positions 28 to 507 of the family's 1533-position model. The record is from RNAcentral.